UAGUCAUACGCUCAAAUUACAGAUUAAGCCAUGCAAGUCUCUGUAUAAACAAUUUUGUACUGUGAAACUGCGAAUGGCUCAUUAUAUCAGUUAUAGUUUAUUUGAUAGUACCUUACUACUUGGAUAACCGUAGUAAUUCUAGAGCUAAUACAUGCAUAAAUACCCGACUAUCUUUUUGUUGGAAGGGUAGCAUUUAUUAGAUUGAAACCAAUGCAGUGCACUUGUGUACUGGUAAUUUGGUGAGUCAUAAUAACUGUGCGGAUUGCAAUUUUUUGCAAUAGAUCAUAUAAGUUUCUGCCCUAUCAGUUUAUUCAGAGUGCAUUGGACUCCGAAGACUUUGACGGGUAACGGAAAAUUAGGGUUUGAUUCCGGAGAGGGAGCCUGAGAAACGGCUACCAGUUCUAAGGAAGGCGAGCGAGGCGCGUAAAUUACCCGAAUCCUGAAACGGGGAGGUAGUAACGAUAAAUAACGAUGUUGGGCUUU
This 483-nucleotide ribosomal RNA is filed under the name uncultured eukaryote. RNAcentral describes it as "bacterial SSU rRNA". It matches the Rfam family "Eukaryotic small subunit ribosomal RNA", at positions 21 to 494 of the family's 1831-position model. The record is from RNAcentral.